Non-coding RNA from Pelobates cultripes (western spadefoot toad), 96 nucleotides. The record is from the annotation of a GenBank genome assembly. Lineage: Eukaryota; Metazoa; Chordata; Amphibia; Anura; Pelobatidae.
AGCUUUAUUGGGGCAAAAGCAACAACGUUUUGAAUCUACCAGGUCUUUAUCAAGCCUGUAGGGUCAAAACGUUGCUGCUUUUGCCCCAAUAAAGCU